GAUCAUUAAAAGAUACAUGGCUAUGCAUCAAGCAAGCAUUGUACAAAACCCACUCUGAGUACCUCAGCCUGUUGCUUCCGUGGGGCCCGGCUCCGGUCGCUCUGGGGAUGAAUAUAUCCCGAGGGAGUCCCCACGGGAGGUAACCUCAUAACAUCUUGCACUCUGAUGCCCUCUGUCUGAUGAUGUUUAUAGCAAACGUUAAAACUUUCAACAACGGAUCUCUUGGUUCUCGCAUCGAUGAAGAACGCAGCGAAAUGCGAUAAGUAGUGUGAAUUGCAGAAUUCAGUGAAUCAUCGAAUCUUUGAACGCACAUUGCGCCUCCUGGCAUUCCGGGAGGCAUGCCUGUUCGAGCGUCAUUAAAAACCACUCAAGCAUCUAUGCUUGGUCUUGGAUGCUGAGGGUGGCAAUGCCCUCACCUCCGAAUUGCAAUGGCGGAUUUCCUCAUGAGUCCCGGCGUAGUAAGUUCAUCUUUUCGCCUUGUCCUGUGAGAUGUCCUGCCACAAACCCCCAAUCAUUCCAGGUUGACCUCGGAUCAGGUAGGGAUACCCGCUGAACUUAAGCAUAUCAAUAAGCGGAGGAAAAGAAACCAACAGGGAUUGCCUCAGUAACUGCGAGUGAAGCGGCACAAGCUCAAAUUUGAAAUCUGGCGUCUUUGGCGUCCGAGUUGUAAUUUGGAGAGGCAUCUUCGGAGAUGGCGCCGUCCUAAGUUCCUUGGAACAGGACGUCACAGAGGGUGAGAAUCCCGUGCCUGGAUGGUAGCCCGUCUCCAUGUGAAGUGUCUUCGACGAGUCGAGUUGUUUGGGAAUGCAGCUCAAAAUGGGUGGUAAAUUUCAUCUAAAGCUAAAUACUGGCGAGAGACCGAUAGCGCACAAGUAGAGUGAUCGAAAGAUGAAAAGCACUUUGAAAAGAGAGUUAAAAAGUACGUGAAAUUGUUGAAAGGGAAGCGCUUGAGACCAGACUCGAUCCUUGGUGAUCAGCCACGCUUCUGCGUGGUGCACUUGCCAUUGAUUGGGCCAGCAUCGGUUCCGGCGGUGGGAUAAAAGGCAAAGGAAUGUAGCUUCCCUCGGGGAGUGUUAUAGCCUCAGUCACAAUGCCAUCAGUGGGGACCGAGGACCGCGCU
Molecule: ribosomal RNA, 1120 nt
Filed under: fungal sp. ARIZ AZ1031
Lineage: Eukaryota; Fungi
Description: eukaryotic LSU rRNA
Rfam family: Eukaryotic large subunit ribosomal RNA (bases 523-1120)
Source: RNAcentral